UGGGGAAUAUUGGACAAUGGGCGCAAGCCUGAUCCAGCCAUGCCGCGUGAGUGAAGAAGGCCUUCGGGUUGUAAAGCUCUUUUACCAGGGACGAUAAUGACGGUACCUGGAGAAUAAGCCCCGGCAAACUUCGUGCCAGCAGCCGCGGUAAUACGAAGGGGGCUAGCGUUGUUCGGAAUUACUGGGCGUAAAGCGCACGUAGGCGGAUUGUUAAGUCAGAGGUGAAAUCCCGGAGCUCAACUUCGGAACUGCCUUUGAUACUGGCAAUCUAGAGUCCGGAAGAGGUUAGUGGAAUUCCCAGUGUAGAGGUGAAAUUCGUAGAUAUUGGGAAGAACACCAGUGGCGAAGGCGGCUAACUGGUCCGGUACUGACGCUGAGGUGCGAAAGCGUGGGGAGCAAACAGGAUUAGAUACCCCCGUAGUCCCUGAGCGGGCUGGCAAGGCGCAU
This 447-nucleotide ribosomal RNA is filed under the name uncultured bacterium. Its description in RNAcentral is "bacterial SSU rRNA". It matches the Rfam family "Bacterial small subunit ribosomal RNA", at positions 355 to 825 of the family's 1533-position model. The record is from RNAcentral.